CUAUGACUGAGUUACUCUCAUACGGUAAAAAACUAUUGUACAACUACGAAAUUGUUCGUGCCUUUUUAUAAUAUUUUUAUGGUUGACAAAAUUAAAGAUAAUUUAAGUCUUGAAUCUUUAAUAUAUCUUGUUUCUACUUUAGUUUUUAAUAUACGUAUUUAAAUAUUUUAUUUAAAUGAACCUUAGAUCUAAGAUAAUGUACAUUAUCUACUAUAACACUAUUAGUGAAAAUAUUAACUUUUCCGGUUAGUAUAUAUUUACAUUAUUAUAAUAUCUUUGAUUCUUAAGUAUACAUAAUUUAUUUUAUAGAUUUAUAACUGAUGAAAAUCAUUAAAAAUAAAAAUGGAUGUACAUUGGUUCGCAAGAUAAAUAUUUAGUUUUAUAUCAUAUUAUACUGCUGGCAUUCCCGAAGUACGUGCUUGAUCGUAAUGAAUGUUCCGCCUUUCGGAAAUAGGACAUAAAGGGCGUCAUACUUUGCCAAGAGAUAGCUGUCAGUCUUGUGACUUAUACGAUUUAUUUGUUUUAUGUUAUAAUACUUACAAUUAUUUAAUUUCAAAUAUUAUUCAAUUAUUCAAUUACUAUAAAAUAUUUCUCAAUAUAUUGUACACACGGUUUUAUGGUAAUAUUGUUCCAUAGACGAGCUGCAUCACUGUGUUAAAUCGGCAUACGGCUCCAUGCUUCAUCAUAAUAAAGUUAUAGACAAUAGGUUAUCCAUACCUUAUCAGUGUUUCAAGAGGGACGCCCAGACUGGUAUAGUUACUCCAAUUUUCAUAAAAUGAGGCGUUUAAUCUAUAUUAAUAUUAUAGUGAUGAAUGAUAAAUCGCUUCAUUUUACCAUUCCUCUAGGAAUAUUGCUUCACUUACAAUUGUUAUAGGAGCACCCUACCCAUUUCUUUAUUCUCUAUGGGUUACAUAGAGGUAUAGAGUUAUUAUUACUCAAUGAAUGGGUAAUACUUAGUAUAGAUCUGCAAGGACCAUCAAAUUUUGGGGCUGUUCGAACUAACAAUUUUAUUUUUAAACCCGGUUCGAUCAAAUCCAAAAUAUUUCGUUAAAUAGAGCCCAGGCCCAGUUCAAUGAUAAUGCUAAUCUCUUAAAAAGUGUUAAUUUAGUAGCUGAUUUUUUUCAUUGCUUUAUUAUUAAACUUAACACUUAUUACGUAAAAUGAUAUCCCUGAAUUAGAUACUACAUUGUUAAUAAUAUAUUAAAUAAUACAUAUUAUCAUUUUCAUUUAAAAUAAUAAUGAUUAUUUUAAUACAUUUUGAAACACCAAAUUAAAAAAAAAAAAAGCUGAUGCUGGGGAUGGAUGCAGCCACUGUUGUAAAUGGGAAGUUGGGAAGAUAGGAUACAUAAGGUUAUUUAAUUUAUAUUUGUAAGCAAAAAUAAACCAUUGAUGACGGAAGACGAUUCCAAGUGCAGUUCGGUAAUUUAUAAUUUGAAGUGU
This is a non-coding RNA of Cinara cedri, 1440 nucleotides long. The record is from the annotation of a GenBank genome assembly. Lineage: Eukaryota; Metazoa; Arthropoda; Insecta; Hemiptera; Aphididae.